UCUAAUAUGGCAGAAUAUAAGUGCAGUGAAUUUAAGCUUCACAAAUAAAGUUUAUACUUUUUUUAGAA
RNAcentral lists this transfer RNA (68 nucleotides) under Otomantis scutigera. RNAcentral describes it as "tRNA-Leu". The record is from RNAcentral. Lineage: Eukaryota; Metazoa; Arthropoda; Insecta; Mantodea; Hymenopodidae.